GUCUAGCCGUAAACAUAAGUAGUCACAAACAAGACUAUUCACCAGAGAACUACGAGCCACAGCCUAAAACUCAAAGGACUUGGCGGUGCUUCAUACCCCCCUAGAGGAGCCUGUUCUAUAAUCGAUAUACCACGAUACACCUCACCAAUUCUUGCUAAUUCAGUCUAUAUACCGCCAUCUUCAGCAAACCCUGGUUAAGGAGCAAAAGUAAGCAUAAUCAUCUUUACAUAAAAACGUUAGGUCAAGGUGUAACUUAUGAAUUGGGAAGCAAUGGGCUACAUUCUUUAACUAAAAGAACGACGAAAGUUUCUAUGAAACUAGAAACCAAAGGAGGAUUUAGUAGUAAGUUAAGAUUAGAAAGCUUAACUGAAAAAGGCAAUGAAGCACGU
Molecule: ribosomal RNA, 389 nt
Filed under: Podogymnura sp. n. DMR-2022
Lineage: Eukaryota; Metazoa; Chordata; Mammalia; Eulipotyphla; Erinaceidae
Description: partial small subunit ribosomal RNA
Rfam family: Bacterial small subunit ribosomal RNA
Source: RNAcentral